CCCUCAUAACUGAAAAUGGUUCUAUUUCCUCAGCAUCUUGUCGCCCCUCCCAUGGUGCAGGUACAUGUUGCCCUAGUCUAACUGGUUCUUCUUUUCUGUCACCAUCACAGGACUCCUCUGGAAGUUUCUAGCUGAAUGUUGUUCCAGAGCGUGAGUGAACCUGUGGAUUAUAAAGCCAUGGGAACAGAAUUCUCCAGGAAACCCCCUCCCAAAGAAAAGAGUCGAAUAGGACUUACGGUACAUCUAUGGAAGUAUAUUACAUGAGGAAAUAAAUUUGUUCUUAAAAAACAA
Molecule: long non-coding RNA, 291 nt
Organism: Suricata suricatta (meerkat)
Lineage: Eukaryota; Metazoa; Chordata; Mammalia; Carnivora; Herpestidae
Exons: 2
Source: RefSeq, a predicted model, not a curated record